This 18-nucleotide small nuclear RNA is filed under the name Arabidopsis thaliana (thale cress). RNAcentral's name for it is "snRNA_01711". The record is from RNAcentral. Lineage: Eukaryota; Viridiplantae; Streptophyta; Magnoliopsida; Brassicales; Brassicaceae.
GAUAAGUGGGAGCUUCGG